UACGGGGGGGGCAAGCGUUGUUCGGAAUUACUGGGCGUAAAGCGUGCGUAGACGGCUAUCUAAGUCGGGUGUGAAAGCCCCGGGCUCAACCUGGGAAUUGCAUUCGAGACUGAAUAGCUAGGGUACGGUAGAGGGAAGUGGAAUUUCCGGUGUAGCGGUGAAAUGCGUAGAUAUCGGAAGGAACAUCAGUGGCGAAAGCGACUUCCUGGACCAGUACCGACGUUCAGGCACGAAAGCGUGGGGAGCAAACAGG
Molecule: ribosomal RNA, 253 nt
Filed under: uncultured bacterium
Lineage: Bacteria
Description: partial 16S ribosomal RNA
Rfam family: Bacterial small subunit ribosomal RNA
Source: RNAcentral